RNAcentral lists this ribosomal RNA (497 nucleotides) under uncultured bacterium. RNAcentral's name for it is "partial 16S ribosomal RNA". It matches the Rfam family "Bacterial small subunit ribosomal RNA", at positions 28 to 507 of the family's 1533-position model. The record is from RNAcentral.
GAUGAACGCUGGCGGCGUGCCUAAUACAUGCAAGUCGAGCGAACAGACGAGGAGCUUGCUCCUCUGACGUUAGCGGCGGACGGGUGAGUAACACGUGGAUAACCUACCUAUAAGACUGGGAUAACUUCGGGAAACCGGAGCUAAUACCGGAUAACAUGUUGAACCGCAUGGUUCAACAGUGAAAGACGGUUUUGCUGUCACUUAUAGAUGGAUCCGCGCCGCAUUAGCUAGUUGGUAAGGUAACGGCUUACCAAGGCAACGAUGCGUAGCCGACCUGAGAGGGUGAUCGGCCACACUGGAACUGAGACACGGUCCAGACUCCUACGGGAGGCAGCAGUAGGGAAUCUUCCGCAAUGGGCGAAAGCCUGACGGAGCAACGCCGCGUGAGUGAAGAAGGUCUUCGGAUCGUAAAACUCUGUUAUUAGGGAAGAACAAAUGUGUAAGUAACUAUGCACGUCUUGACGGCACCUAAUCAGAAAGCCACGGCUAACUACGUG